This 353-nucleotide long non-coding RNA is filed under the name Brassica napus (rape). RNAcentral describes it as "long non-coding RNA (BNAP_LNC020505)". The record is from RNAcentral. Lineage: Eukaryota; Viridiplantae; Streptophyta; Magnoliopsida; Brassicales; Brassicaceae.
UUUAUCCUGUAAUUUUGAUCUAAUGCAAGAAAUAUGAUACCCAUAUUUAUCUAAAAAUCCUAGUUUCUCUCCAGACAUAUCAAGACAUAAUAAUUCAGUUUGCGCAAUAUCCAAAUCGUUAAUUAUUAAGCUAGGAAUAGUUGAACUUACCUAAAAAUUGGACAGUUGAUUGGCUUGUUCCUUUGCACGGCCUGCUUUAUUGAUGACUGGUCUGGUGGUUCUUCCUGAAGUAAGAUGUUGCUGGUCGUUACUCCAUCUUCUUCGGAUAAGUUUUUAGGCAAGGAAUGCGCCUUUGAUUGUGGCAUGUUAUCUAUCUUUAAGAUCAUCUUCUCUUGCUCCAAAGGUUCCUUUCU